This 868-nucleotide ribosomal RNA is filed under the name uncultured archaeon. RNAcentral's name for it is "bacterial SSU rRNA". It matches the Rfam family "Archaeal small subunit ribosomal RNA", at positions 1 to 878 of the family's 1478-position model. The record is from RNAcentral.
CUCCGGUUGAUCCCGCCGGACCCGACUGCUAUCAGAGUGGGACUAAGCCAUGCGAGUCAACGUAGCAAUACGUGGCAUACGGCUCAGUAACACGUAGUCAACAUGCCCAGGGGACGAGGAUAACCUCGGGAAACUGAGGAUAAACCUCGAUAGGCCAUGAUUUCUGGAAUGAUUCUUGGCUCAAACCUAUAUGGCCCCUGGAUUGGACUGCGGCCGAUCAGGCUGUUGGUGAGGUAAUGGCCCACCAAACCUAUUACCGGUACGGGCUCUGAGAGGAGGAGCCCGGAGAUGGGCACUGAGACAAGGGCCCAGGCCCUAUGGGGCGCAGCAGGCGCGAAACCUCUGCAAUAGGCGAAAGCUUGACAGGGUUACUCUGAGUGAUUUCCGUUAAGGAGAUCUUUUGGCACCUCUAAAAAUGGUGCAGAAUAAGGGGUGGGCAAGUCUGGUGUCAGCCGCCGCGGUAAUACCAGCACCCCGAGUGGUCGGGACGUUUAUUGGGCCUAAAGCAUCCGUAGCCGGUUCUACAAGUCUUCCGUUAAAUCCACCUGCUUAACAGAUGGGCUGCGGAAGAUACUAUAGAGCUAGGAGGCGGGAGAGGCAAGCGGUACUCGAUGGGUAGGGGUAAAAUCCGUUGAUCCAUUGAAGACCACCAGUGGCGAAGGCGGCUUGCCAGAACGCGCUCGACGGUGAGGGAUGAAAGCUGGGGGAGCAAACCGGAUUAGAUACCCGGGUAGUCCCAGCUGUAAACGAUGCAGACUCGGUGAUGAGUUGGCUUAUUGCUAACUCAGUGCCGCAGGGAAGCCGUUAAGUUUGCCGCCUGGGGAGUACGGUCGCAAGACUGAAACUUAAAGGAAUUGGCGGGGGAGCA